This 461-nucleotide ribosomal RNA is filed under the name Bacillus sp. enrichment culture clone A3c. RNAcentral's name for it is "bacterial SSU rRNA". It matches the Rfam family "Bacterial small subunit ribosomal RNA", at positions 80 to 529 of the family's 1533-position model. The record is from RNAcentral. Lineage: Bacteria; Bacillati; Bacillota; Bacilli; Caryophanales; Bacillaceae.
CUUGCUUCUUGCGUUACGGCGGACGGGUGAGUACACGUGGGCACCUGCCUGUAAGACUGGGAUAACUUCGGGAAACCGAAGCUAAUACCGGAUAGGAUCUUCUCCUUCAUGGGAGAUGAUUGAAAGAUGGUUUCGGCUAUCACUUACAGAUGGGCCCGCGGUGCAUUAGCUAGUUGGUGAGGUAACGGCUCACCAAGGCAACGAUGCAUAGCCGACCUGAGAGGGUGAUCGGCCACACUGGGACUGAGACACGGCCCAGACUCCUACGGGAGGCAGCAGUAGGGAAUCUUCCGCAAUGGACGAAAGUCUGACGGAGCAACGCCGCGUGAGUGAUGAAGGCUUUCGGGUCGUAAAACUCUGUUGUUAGGGAAGAACAAGUACGAGAGUAACUGCUCGUACCUUGACGGUACCUAACCAGAAAGCCACGGCUAACUACGUGCCAGCAGCCGCGGUAAUACGUA